Molecule: ribosomal RNA, 446 nt
Filed under: uncultured bacterium
Lineage: Bacteria
Description: partial 16S ribosomal RNA
Source: RNAcentral
UGGGAGCGCUCCCAUAUGGUCGACCUGCAGGCGGCCGCGAAUUCACUAGUGAUUCGUAUUACCGCGGCUGCUGGCACGGAGUUAACCGGUGCUUAUUCAUAGGGUACUGUCAAGUAAUCUAGAAAGACCUUUUUUCGCCCCCUAUAAAAGAAGUUUACAAUCCAGAGGACCUUCAUCCUUCACGCGGCAUGGCUGGUUCAGACUUGCGUCCAUUGACCAAUAUUCCUUACUGCUGCCUCCCGUAGGAGUCGGGCCCGUGUCUCAGUGCCCGUGUGGCUGAUCAUGCUCUCACAUCAGCCACUGAUCGAAGGCUUGGUGGGCCUUUACCCCGGCAACUACCUAAUCAGGCGCACACCCAUCUCGAAUCGCCGAAACUAUAAUAACAGUGUGAUGCCACACCGCUAUAUUACGGGGUAUUAAUCCACAUUUCUAUGGGCUAUCCCCCU